This is a small nuclear RNA of Homo sapiens (human), 108 nucleotides long. NCBI's taxonomy places the organism in Eukaryota, Metazoa, Chordata, Mammalia, Primates, Hominidae. The record is from Ensembl.
GGUCUUGUUGAAAAUAUGCUAUCAUGCUCAAUUGGAAUGAUACAAAGAAGAUUAGCAUGGCACUUGUAAAAGGAUAACACACAAAUUUGUGAAGUGUUCCAUAUUUUC